Molecule: small RNA, 126 nt
Filed under: Marmota monax (woodchuck)
Lineage: Eukaryota; Metazoa; Chordata; Mammalia; Rodentia; Sciuridae
Source: RNAcentral
GUUGGGCAUGGUGGUGCAUGCCUGUAAUCCCAGUGACUCAAGAGACUAAGGCAGGAGAAUCACAAGUUGAGACCAGCCUCAGCAACUUAAUAAGGCUCUAGGCAAUUUAGUGAGACCCUGUCUCAA